AUUGAAGGCUGAAAUUCGCCUUCAUGAAGCUGGAAUUGCUAGUAAUGGCAGGUCAGCAUACUGCCGUGAAUACGUUCCCGGGCCUUGUACACACCGCCCGUCACACCAUGAGAGUUGGAAAUACCCGAAGCCUGUGAGUUAACUUUUAGAGGCAGCAGUCGAAGGUAGAGCCAAUGAUUGGGGUGAAGUCGUAACAAGGUACC
Molecule: ribosomal RNA, 203 nt
Filed under: uncultured bacterium
Lineage: Bacteria
Description: partial 16S ribosomal RNA
Rfam family: Bacterial small subunit ribosomal RNA
Source: RNAcentral